Molecule: unclassified non-coding RNA, 3490 nt
Filed under: Hevea brasiliensis (rubber tree)
Lineage: Eukaryota; Viridiplantae; Streptophyta; Magnoliopsida; Malpighiales; Euphorbiaceae
Source: RNAcentral
CUCUCUCUCUCUCUCUCUCUGGUUAUCAGGCAACCAUGAUCUUCGUUGAUGGGGUUCCAUUUUCUACCAUUUCCUCUCAGGAAAGUGAUACCUUGGCAGCUUUGAUGGAACAUCCUGUGCUGGUUUCUGCCUCACAUGCAUUGAAGGCAAAGCAGGAGAGGAAGUUCUCUGUCUCUGAGGAGUCAGGCUCACAAAGAUCAACACAGAGUCGAUAUGUUUACAUCUUCCAAAGAGAAUACGCAACUGUCGACCCUGCACUUGUGGAUUUUGUUGGCACUGAUGAAGCAACUACUUGUGUGGGCCUUGUUAUUCGCAACCAGAAAAAUGGAAUGUAAGGAAUCGAUUUCAUUAGAGAUUGACUACAAUAUGGAAUUUGAAAAUUCAUCGUUGAAGUUAGAAUUUUUUACUUUGCAUUUCUGAUUCCUUCAUUUACUUGCAGGGUAUCUGUUGCCCAUAUGGAUUCUCCAAAAAUUGUUGAUAUGGGCUUUGACCAGAUGUUGUCACUUCUUGUUGAUCAAAAUGUUGACAUUGACUUGGAUGUGCACAUGAUUGGUGGUUUUGAAGAUGUUACCCUCAAACAUGCUAAUGGCACCACUUGGUCUGAAAGCCAUGCGAAAUCAGAUGGUUAUUCUUUUCCAUUAUGCAAAAAAAUGAUUGAAACUAUGGAGAAGAGACGAGAAAAGUUUCACAUUCAAACUCUCUUUGUCCUUGGGCAUAACACCAAGAGAGAUUCUCAAGGGAAUGCAUACCCAAUCUUCAAUGGCUUCUUGGUAGUUUCAAGUAUUAAUUCCUUCUUUUUAUUGUUUGCAUUGAAAUGAAUAAAUAAUGAACUAGUUGUUUACAUUUGAUUAAACACUAUGGAAAGUUCACUUCUAUGUGUUGAAAGGUAUAUCAUUCGUGGAGCAAAGUAUCUACCUGUGAAAUGAGGAGCCUAGGAAAUUUCUUUUAUAACAUUUCUUAGAUUAGAUCUACCUGUCCUGUCUACUCAUCUAGCCUUAUUUUAUAUAGAAGCGAUGCUAAAGAAACUGUAAAUUCAUGACCAGAGCAUGGCAAUGGAAGGGCCAAGUCAUAUACAGACAAAUAUAUUAUUAUUUAAUGGUAAACUUGUAGCAGUGCUGGAUCUGAAGUCUAGGCAGACAAUACCAAAGUGGCAAGAAGAGUGGCUAAGAGUAAAGUUCAAUAAAUGAGAGAAUGCAAUUAUGAAAUGCUGUUAAAAUGUAAGCUAUAUUAAAUUCAUCAAAAAUAAUUCAACCAUUUGUUAGUAUCAAAGUAUUAAUUUCCUUUGCAGUUGAAUUUCCCAAAGGAUUCUAACUUGCCCUUAUUUCUGUUGGUGGAAAUUGUUCUUUAUGGACCAAUAAGUACUCAAUAUUGCUUGCCAAUAAUUUAAAUGUGUGGUACUUAUGUUUUUAGGACAAGGUAUAUUGAGUAGCAUUUCAUUUAGUUGUUAAAACUUUUACAAAGAUUUGGUUUCAAUGAUGUAGACUCUGAUUUCUUUUUCCACCUUGUCAGGUUGAAACAUCCACUGGAUCUCUCACUCCAGCCAGUUUUGAGAGAGCUACAAGAUGUCCAGAUGAAAUUGUCAGAAGAAUUCGAGUGAGUGCAGCAUAUGAAGAUCCGACUUGGAAUGGCAAGUUGCUGGAGUCAUAUGAUACUCUAGCUGAUCGAUUUGUGAUUGCUUCAUGUUGUUGGUAUUGUUGCUUAAUUUGCAUAAAUCCCUGCCUUUGAAAUUUUUCAAAAGCUGUUGCCUUGAUGAUGAAUAUUAUAGAGGUCUACACAUGCUGGUCACUAUCAUAGUAUACAUUCCACAAAUUCUGUCGUCUUCUUACCUCUGUCUAAAGUAAUUACCAAACCUUUAUUCAUUGAAAAUAUGUUGGUGUUAUUUAUUAUUUUACUGAUGCAGGACCUCAAAUCAACGAUACAUUGCUUUGAGACUGGAACAACUUUCUGAUGCAGAUAUCCUACUUAACUGUUCCACUUCACCAUCUGCAGAGGGUCCAGAUUUUGUGGAUAAUGAAAGAAGGCAAUGGGAGUACAUAAUUAAACAUCCAGACUGGCAAUAUACUUUUCCUCUGAGGCAGCCACGCAUUUUUAAGAGGACUGCUGAUGGAGGCUGGAAGAGUUGCUUACCAACAUCAGAGGAUUCCUCACAAGAACCUCAGGCUGAAACUUCAUUGCAGAUGACCUAAAUUUCAUGGAAGAAUAUGCUUCUUCUCUCCACCAAGUGAGUGUUGAUGAUCAUGGUAAAUGUAAAAUCUUCAUUUAUUUGAAACUAUACUUUAUUAGGCCAUGGCAACUCAUUUGCAAUUCUUGUGAUAACCAUAUCUCCAUAACUGGAUUAUUGAUUGCAAAACAAUUAUGCAAUUGAUAGAGACUAGGUUCAUGUGAGAAUUUCUCGCAUUUGCGUAUGUGAACAUGUUUUGUCCUUAAUUUGAGAGGGAAGUUGGAUGUGAGGGAUCAACCAUUGCCACGUUGCCUUCAAAAGUUAUCCCACAAGUCAAUAGAGGCUUUCCUUAACUUCAGCCAAAUGUGGUAGCUGACAAAUUUAACACUGAAAGCUCAGUACCAACUAAACCCAACUAUGUACCUACUCCAAAUUUAGCCGCCCAUCUUUAACUCUGGUGUAGGGUUUCCAUUCUAGCAAGUACCAUUUCCAUCAAAUUCCCCAAUGACCAGAGGCCGCUCUUUAAAUCAAAACUUCCCUUCUCAAUCUUAGGCUUCCUUCACCGAUCUGGAUUCAUAACCGGAGAAAAGAAAACAGGUCGGUUUUUCAAGCUCUCAAAUUGUCCCUACGGCUCCUGUAACCAUUUGACCUUCGGAGUCAGGGCUGCAGUUGCUUGUUUUGGCUCUUCACUCACCACUCCGGUGCCUGUUGGCUGUACCUACCUUCCUCCACUGUAGAACUGAACUGGCUGACUUCCCUAUUAGGUCCAAACAAUAAUAUUUCUCCAACCCUUAAGACUCAGCUUCAAGACUCCAGGAGAGGAUCAAGAAAGUUAUAUUACCAGUUCUAAGGUGGUGCAGACGAUGUUUUCAGGCUUGGACGUGAAUGCAAGAAAGGCAGCGCUGGUGAGGAAGCUGGCGGUGGUAAGGUUCUUGUGUACCAUGAUUUUUCAAAGACAGAUGAGAUGGCUGAGAUUACUUCUUGGAUACGGCUGUGUUGAAAUAUAGACUUCAUUGCUAUACCUCUUACAUAAACUCCAUCCAUUUAUUUAAUUAUUUAUUUUUAUAUUUUAACGUAAGGGAGGGGAGAUGUUAGGGUUUGUAGUUUUAGAUAAUAUUUUUUUUAAAUAUAUAUUUUAUAAUUAUUCGAGAUGAAAUAGUUAAUUGUUAGUUAUUAUUGUUAUACAAAAAUACAAAUUACAAUGGCAAGUGCUGAAUUACAGAAUAAAGAAAGUUGAGAUUUUUAGUUAUUAUUAUUUUGUCCAUUUUUAUCUGUCACUCUUAGAAGUGAUUUUAUUCAUAGUUAUUAAUUAUUUUGAGAAUAUUAAGG